UAAGAAAAUGCACACAUAGCUGACCACUGUAUUGUCAACUACCAAGCUUGUUCUCGAGUUUUACUGACACUACCCCUUUAUGCUGCAAGGCAAUUAUUCAUAUAAUGUUAUAGCUUUCCAGUUGUAUUGAUAUAUGGAAAUAAUGAUAUUUAUUAUAUUAUAAGCAGUGUUAUAUAAAGUAGCACCUAUUGUUAACUGACCCUUCACAAUGUCUACAUCUGAAACCUUUUCCUAUGAAUAAGAUGUUAGAAUAACCCCAAUCUGUUUACAAUACAUACACUGUUUAUUAGGAUUUACAUUGCAGGCACCUCUUUUCCACUGACUUGCUUAAGAUAUCUGUACUUUAGUUGCUUCAAACAGGUAAGUA
Nanorana parkeri is the source of this 367-nucleotide long non-coding RNA. RefSeq lists it as uncharacterized. NCBI's taxonomy places the organism in Eukaryota, Metazoa, Chordata, Amphibia, Anura, Dicroglossidae. The transcript is spliced from 3 exons. The record is from RefSeq and is a predicted model, not a curated record.